This 400-nucleotide ribosomal RNA is filed under the name uncultured bacterium. Its description in RNAcentral is "bacterial SSU rRNA". It matches the Rfam family "Bacterial small subunit ribosomal RNA", at positions 356 to 773 of the family's 1533-position model. The record is from RNAcentral.
GGGGAAUAUUGGACAAUGGGCGAAAGCCUGAUCCAGCAAUGCCGCGUGUGUGAAGAAGGUCUUCGGAUUGUAAAGCACUUUCGGCGGGGACGAUGAUGACGGUACCCGCAGAAGAAGCCCCGGCUAACUUCGUGCCAGCAGCCGCGGUAAUACGAAGGGGGCUAGCGUUGCUCGGAAUGACUGGGCGUAAAGGGCGCGUAGGCGGCGAUCACAGUCAGGCGUGAAAUUCCCGGGCUCAACCUGGGGACUGCGUUUGAGACGUGAUGGCUAGAGUUAGGAAGAGGGUCGUGGAAUUCCCAGUGUAGAGGUGAAAUUCGUAGAUAUUGGGAAGAACACCGGUGGCGAAGGCGGCGACCUGGUCCAUAACUGACGCUGAGGCGCGAAAGCGUGGGGAGCAAAC